Molecule: ribosomal RNA, 468 nt
Filed under: uncultured bacterium
Lineage: Bacteria
Description: partial 16S ribosomal RNA
Rfam family: Bacterial small subunit ribosomal RNA
Source: RNAcentral
GACGAACGCUGGCGGCGUGCUUAACACAUGCAAGUCGAACGGAAAGACCCUGCUUUUGUGGGGUGCUCGAGUGGCGAACGGGUGAGUAACACGUGAGAAACCUGCCCUUGACUUUGGGAUAACUUCAGGAAACUGGGGCUAAUACCGGAUAGGAGCUCCUGCUGCAUGGUGGGGGUUGGAAAGUUUCGGCGGUUGGGGAUGGACUCGCGGCUUAUCAGCUUGUUGGUGGGGUAGUGGCUUACCAAGGCUUUGACGGGUAGCCGGCCUGAGAGGGUGACCGGCCACAUUGGGACUGAGAUACGGCCCAGACUCCUACGGGAGGCAGCAGUGGGGAAUAUUGCACAAUGGGCGGAAGCCUGAUGCAGCAACGCCGCGUGCGGGAUGACGGCCUUCGGGUUGUAAACCGCUUUCGCCUGUGACGAAGCGUGAGUGACGGUAAUGGGUAAAGAAGCACCGGCUAACUACGUG